RNAcentral lists this small nucleolar RNA (107 nucleotides) under Gossypium hirsutum (cotton). Its description in RNAcentral is "Plant small nucleolar RNA R71". It matches the Rfam family "Plant small nucleolar RNA R71". From Rfam's summary of the family: R71 is a member of the C/D box family of snoRNAs containing the C (UGAUGA) and D (CUGA) box motifs. The record is from Rfam by way of RNAcentral. Lineage: Eukaryota; Viridiplantae; Streptophyta; Magnoliopsida; Malvales; Malvaceae.
AAAACAUGCAUCGGGCAUUUUCUAAUUAAUUCCUUAAAACACACGCAUGCUUCGUAUAAUGUAUCAUCUUCAAAUUGCCUAAACGAGAUAAUGUCAUUCCUCAACUU